Long non-coding RNA from Ornithorhynchus anatinus (platypus), 907 nucleotides. RefSeq lists it as uncharacterized. NCBI's taxonomy places the organism in Eukaryota, Metazoa, Chordata, Mammalia, Monotremata, Ornithorhynchidae. The record is from RefSeq and is a predicted model, not a curated record. The transcript has 4 exons.
AUCUUGUGAAUACGAUGUUUUCCUUGGUAUUCCCAAUGCACAGAUUUCAUAGGAAGCAUAAAUUUUGGGAUGAAUCAUUGCUAAUGAACACACAAAGCAAAGAAAACUGAUCUGGACAGCAGAGUGAAGUAUGGACUGGAGAAGCAAGGAGGGUGACGCGGCAUCAAAGUGGAAAUUACUAAAGCUUGGGUCGGCGUGGAAGCAGUUGGCUGGAGAAGAAAAGACAAUCUAGAGAAGUUGUGAAGGCUCAGUUCGGGACAGAUGCCCACAAUGCGUAAAAGAUGAUGGAUGAAUAAGUGCCACAAGUGCCUCAACAGAACAGUAUGUCUAUUAUACAGGAAUGAACAUCCUGAGGAAACAGUGUGGCCUAGUGGAUAGAACACGGGCCUGGGAUUCUUUUUCAAGCUAGACCUAGGACAAGACGAAAGCAUACUGCUAAUUGGUCAUCAUCGGAUUUGAACUACAUCUGGAUCAAUAAUCGCUCGAGUCAUUCUCGUCGCCUGGCUUUGGCUUAAGACGAAAGCGAGAUCACCGAAGUGAAUGACAAAUAGGGUUUCAGGAAAUGGAAACGAAUGAGCUUUUCCUUCCCAAAGAAUCACGGAAAACCAACCCUUCCUCGGAAGCUAAUCCCUCGACGGAUAAGAGCGCCAGCCUCUCCCCGCGACACGCGCACAGAUGGGUUGCCGUGGAAAGAUGACAAAUGAGUCGUGUUUGGCUGGAUUAAUGUGUAUUAUCAUGUUAAUGGGUGUUUACCGUGCGGUUUGGGAGGCUCACGCGGUCAUGCCAAAGUGUCAGUGCUUCUCCGACACACACAGAUCCUCCUUUCUUCCCCUUAUUAAUAAUGAAUCCCCAGUGCCACGCAUCUGAGGGGGGAAGCAGCGGGGUCUAGCGGAAAGAACUCUGGACU